RNAcentral lists this ribosomal RNA (374 nucleotides) under uncultured Anaerolineaceae bacterium. RNAcentral describes it as "bacterial SSU rRNA". It matches the Rfam family "Bacterial small subunit ribosomal RNA", at positions 994 to 1378 of the family's 1533-position model. The record is from RNAcentral. Lineage: Bacteria; Bacillati; Chloroflexota; Anaerolineae; Anaerolineales; Anaerolineaceae.
UAGGGAAGCGAAAGCAGACCGACCCUUCGGGAGUCUGUUACAGGUGUUGCAUGGCUGUCGUCAGCUCGUGUCGUGAGAUGUUCGGUUAAGUCCGCUAACGAGCGCAACCCGCGUUGUGUGUUACAAGUGUCACACAAUACCGCCGGUAUUAAGUCGGAGGAAGGUGCGGAUGACGUCAAGUCAGCAUGACCUUUAUAUCCAGGGCUACACACACGCUACAAUGGUCAGCACAAUAGGUUGCCAAGUCGUGAGACGGAGCCAAUCCUCCAAAGCUGGCCUCAGUUCAGAUUGUAGGCUGCAACCCGCCUGCAUGAAGUUGGAGUUGCUAGUAACCGCAGGUCAGCUAUACUGCGGUGAAUACGUUCCCGGGGAUU